This 91-nucleotide transfer RNA is filed under the name Oscillospiraceae bacterium. RNAcentral describes it as "tRNA-Ser". It matches the Rfam family "tRNA". Rfam says of the family: Transfer RNA (tRNA) molecules are approximately 80 nucleotides in length. RNAcentral also lists the same sequence under 1 other name. The record is from RNAcentral. Lineage: Bacteria; Bacillati; Bacillota; Clostridia; Eubacteriales; Oscillospiraceae.
GGAGAGUUACUCAAGUGGUCGAAGAGGCGUGACUCGAAAUCUCGUAGGGCGCGGAAGCGUCGCCAGGGUUCAAAUCCCUGACUCUCCGCCA